CCUACGGGUGGCAGCAGUAGGGAAUAUUGCUCAAUGGGGGAAACCCUGAAGCAGCAACGCCGCGUGGAGGAUGAAGGUUUUCGGAUUGUAAACUCCUUUUGUUAGAGAAGAUAAUGACGGUAUCUAACGAAUAAGCACCGGCUAACUCCGUGCCAGCAGCCGCGGUAAUACGGAGGGUGCAAGCGUUACUCGGAAUCACUGGGCGUAAAGAGCGCGUAGGCGGGAUAGCAAGUCAGAUGUGAAAUCCUAUGGCUUAACCAUAGAACUGCAUUUGAAACUGUUAUUCGGGAGUAUCGGAGAGGGAGGUGGAAUUCCAGGUGUAGGGGGAAAAUGAGUAGAGAUCAGGAGGAAUAC
RNAcentral lists this ribosomal RNA (354 nucleotides) under uncultured bacterium. RNAcentral's name for it is "partial 16S ribosomal RNA". It matches the Rfam family "Bacterial small subunit ribosomal RNA", at positions 338 to 709 of the family's 1533-position model. The record is from RNAcentral.